RNAcentral lists this unclassified non-coding RNA (242 nucleotides) under uncultured fungus. Its description in RNAcentral is "sequence contains 5.8S rRNA gene". Lineage: Eukaryota; Fungi. The record is from RNAcentral.
GAACGCACAUUGCGCCCCUUGGUUUACCAGGGGGCAUGUCUAUCCGAGCGUCGUUACACCCCUCAAGCCUGGCUUGGUCUUGGGGCGCGUCCUGCCUGGCAGGGCCGCCCUCAAACGUAACUCGACGUGCCUUUUGUUCGGGAGCGCAGCAGUUUUGCGGCUUUCGCUGGUUCCGUGGAGCCGCCUCUGGCGGACCUCUCUGGUUGACCUCGGAUUAGAUAAGGAUACCCGCUGAACUUAAG